Molecule: long non-coding RNA, 402 nt
Filed under: Androctonus crassicauda
Lineage: Eukaryota; Metazoa; Arthropoda; Arachnida; Scorpiones; Buthidae
Source: RNAcentral
CAUUUCUUUGUCUUUAAAUCCAUUAAUCAUUUUACAUCUGUGAGUUAGGCAGAAGCUCACAUUUGGAAACUUUACUAUCAUCUCACUUGGCCACUGGUGGCGAAAGCAGCAUCAACCCAAGUAUGGCUACUGCAAUACAUACCCACAGUACUACACAUACCCACAGUAGGGAACAGGUCAUCACAUCAGAGCUCAACCAACCAAAGUGUUUCCCAAGCAACUCAGCCAGAGAUCACCAAGGGUGGAAAACCAUGCCAAUGCAUGCAAUGGACCACAGACAUGAACAAAUUCAUCAUGUAUACAUGUUACACAAUUACAAAAUUAGAAACCGACACUACAGGGUACAGAAGGGAACUCUAUGACAAAUUCACAAGCAGCUACCCAAACAUCACAGUUACAGAA